GGCAGGACAUGACCAGAAUGCAGGUUACCGAGGAUAUGACCCUUGAGAGGGGAGUCUGGAGGUCUAGAAUCAAGAUUGUAGGCUAGGGGCGCAUAGGUGAUCAGUGUUUUAGUAUGGUAGUUACUGCUUGUUAUUGUUGCAUGCGACUGUAUUUAUGUUGCUUAUGCUUUCAUAAUUAUUUACGUUAUUUUUGCGGGAGUACUUAUGCUUUAUUAUUUUAUUUUGUCUUGCUUGUGUCUCUAAUUUUACCUUUGCUUUCUUAAUGCAGCUUUCCCUUUUUUAUCCUAUACGCCGAGGGUCGAUUGGAAACUGCCUCUCUGCCCUUUCGGGCAGGGGUAAGGCUCGUCUACAUAUUACCCUCCCCAGACCCCACCUGGUGGGAAUAUACUGGGUAGUUGUUGUUGUUGUAGGGGUAAGGCUCGUCUACAUAUUACCCUCCCCAGACCCCACCUGGUGGGAAUAUACUGGGUAGUUGUUGUUAUUUUCUUGAAUAAAUUUCUGGUAUGUGGUGAAUAGUGAAUUUCAUUGAUUUAUAAGGAUUUAUAUUUUGGGAAGCAUCUGCAUUUGUUUUUGGCUAAACUAUGGUGUUGAAGAAUUUCUUUCCAGGAAAAAAUGAAAGAGAGAG
This 625-nucleotide long non-coding RNA is filed under the name Nicotiana benthamiana. Its description in RNAcentral is "long non-coding RNA (NBEN_LNC032418)". Lineage: Eukaryota; Viridiplantae; Streptophyta; Magnoliopsida; Solanales; Solanaceae. The record is from RNAcentral.